GAUGAACGCUGGCGGCGUGCCUAAUACAUGCAAGUAGAACGCUGAAGGAAGGAGCUUGCUCUUUCCGGAUGAGUUGCGAACGGGUGAGUAACGCGUAGGUAACCUGCCUGGUAGCGGGGGAUAACUAUUGGAAACGAUAGCUAAUACCGCAUAACAGUAGAUGUUGCAUGAUAUCUACUUAAAAGGUGCAAUUGCACCACUACCAGAUGGACCUGCGUUGUAUUAGCUAGUUGGUGAGGUAACGGCUCACCAAGGCGACGAUACAUAGCCGACCUGAGAGGGGGAUCGGCCACACUGGGACUGAGACACGGCCCAGACUCCUACGGGAGGCAGCAGUAGGGGAUCUUCGGCAAUGGACGGAAGUCUGACCGAGCAACGCCGCGUGAGUGAAGAAGGUUUUCGGAUCGUAAAGCUCUGUUGUAAGAGAAGAACGAGUGUGAGAGUGGAAAGUUCACACUGUGACGGUAUCUUACCAGAAAGGGACGGCUAACUACGUG
RNAcentral lists this ribosomal RNA (497 nucleotides) under uncultured bacterium. Its description in RNAcentral is "partial 16S ribosomal RNA". It matches the Rfam family "Bacterial small subunit ribosomal RNA", at positions 28 to 507 of the family's 1533-position model. The record is from RNAcentral.